GACGAACGCUGGCGGCGUGCUUAACACAUGCAAGUCGAACGAAGAGCGAUGGAAGCUUGCUUCUAUCAAUCUUAGUGGCGAACGGGUGAGUAACGCGUAAUCAACCUGCCCUUCAGAGGGGGACAACAGUUGGAAACGACUGCUAAUACCGCAUACGAUCUGACCUCGGCAUCGAGGAUAGAUGAAAGGUGGCCUCUAUUUAUAAGCUAUCAUUGAAGGAGGGGAUUGCGUCUGAUUAGCUAGUUGGAGGGGUAACGGCCCACCAAGGCGAUGAUCAGUAGCCGGUCUGAGAGGAUGAACGGCCACAUUGGGACUGAGACACGGCCCAGACUCCUACGGGAGGCAGCAGUGGGGAAUCUUCCGCAAUGGACGAAAGUCUGACGGAGCAACGCCGCGUGAGUGAUGACGGCCUUCGGGUUGUAAAGCUCUGUUAAUCGGGACGAAAGGCCUUCUUGCGAAUAGUUAGAAGGAUUGACGGUACCGGAAUAGAAAGCCACGGCUAACUACGUG
RNAcentral lists this ribosomal RNA (510 nucleotides) under uncultured bacterium. RNAcentral's name for it is "partial 16S ribosomal RNA". It matches the Rfam family "Bacterial small subunit ribosomal RNA", at positions 28 to 507 of the family's 1533-position model. The record is from RNAcentral.